This 492-nucleotide ribosomal RNA is filed under the name uncultured bacterium. RNAcentral describes it as "partial 16S ribosomal RNA". It matches the Rfam family "Bacterial small subunit ribosomal RNA", at positions 29 to 507 of the family's 1533-position model. The record is from RNAcentral.
AGUGAACGCUGGCGGUAGGCCUAACACAUGCAAGUCGAACGGCAGCACAGUAAGAGCUUGCUCUUACGGGUGGCGAGUGGCGGACGGGUGAGGAAUACAUCGGAAUCUACUUUUUCGUGGGGGAUAACGUAGGUAAACUUACGCUAAUACCGCAUACGACCUACGGGGGAAAGCAGUGGAUCUUCUGACCUUGCGCGAUUGAAUGAGCCGAUGUCGGAUUAGCUAGUUGGCGGGGUAAAGGCCCACCAAGGCGACGAUCCGUAGCUGGUCUGAGAGGAUGAUCAGCCACAUUGGAACUGAGACACGGUCCAGACUCCUACGGGAGGCAGCAGUGGGGAAUAUUGGACAAUGGGCGCAAGCAUGAUCCAGCCAUACCGCGUGGGUGAAGAAGGCCUUCGGGUUGUAAAGCCCUUUUGUUGGGAAAGAAAAGCAGCAGGUUAAUACCCCGCUGUUCUGACGGUACCCAAAGAAUAAGCACCGGCUAACUUCGUG